Molecule: non-coding RNA, 581 nt
Organism: Meleagris gallopavo (turkey)
Lineage: Eukaryota; Metazoa; Chordata; Aves; Galliformes; Phasianidae
Source: RefSeq, a predicted model, not a curated record
AAGAAUCCAGUUUUGCUGAUCACUGUGUGCAUUCUGUUCUUCCCCCAGGAGAAAGCUUUUAACGACAUCCUCACCAACAAAGGCCCCGAGCUGCUGAAAGAUUUGGAUGCUUUCUUAGGAGACAACAAAUGGUUUGUAGGGAAAUCUGUAACAUGGGCUGAUUUCUACUGGGAUGUGUGCAGCACAACGCUCCUGUCCUAUAAAGCUGACCUGGCAGACAAGUACCCCAGGCUGUUGGCUCUCAGGGACAGAGUGCAAGCACUGCCCGCUAUUGCAGCCUGGAUCCAGAAAAGACCAAAGACAGCAAUUUAGAUCAGCUGUUCACUGGAAAAACAAAUGCAUAUUUUUUGAUUUUCAAACAUUACAAAUGUGCUAAGUUAUUAAUUUUAGAAUCAUUUAAAUUAAUUUCAGGUGGGUGUGCAGGACCAAAUCAGAAUCUAGUAGGGUAGAGCCUGGGUAGAGGUGCUGUUCCAACUGCAUUCCCUUCAUCACUAAUAAAGUGUUUGAAAAACUCAGUUAAUGUUCUGUAGGUACUCAGAUGGAGAAACAAUAAUAAAUAUUACUGGCAGAUAUAAUCUCAA